RNAcentral lists this ribosomal RNA (394 nucleotides) under uncultured Anaeromyxobacter sp. Its description in RNAcentral is "bacterial SSU rRNA". It matches the Rfam family "Bacterial small subunit ribosomal RNA", at positions 67 to 447 of the family's 1533-position model. The record is from RNAcentral. Lineage: Bacteria; Pseudomonadati; Myxococcota; Myxococcia; Myxococcales; Anaeromyxobacteraceae.
CGAGAAAGCCCGCAAGGGUGAGUAAAGCGGCGCACGGGUGCGUAACACGUGGGUAAUCUGCCCUGAAGUCCGGAAUAACUCGCCGAAAGGCGUGCUAAUGCCGGAUAAGACCACGGGAGCUCCGGCUCCUGCGGGAAAAGGUGGCCUCUGUAUACAAGCUAUCACUUCAGGAUGAGCCCGCGGCCCAUCAGCUCGUUGGCGGGGUAAUGGCCCACCAAGGCUACGACGGGUAGCUGGUCUGAGAGGACGAUCAGCCACACUGGAACUGAGACACGGUCCAGACUCCUACGGGAGGCAGCAGUGGGGAAUCUUGCGCAAUGGGCGAAAGCCUGACGCAGCAACGCCGCGUGUGUGAUGAAGGUCUUCGGAUCGUAAAGCACUGUCGCGAGGGACG